AGGACGAACGCUGGCGGCGUGCUUAACACAUGCAAGUCGAGCGGAAAGGCCCUUCGGGGUACUCGAGCGGCGAACGGGUGAGUAACACGUGAGUAACCUGCCCCUAGCUCUGGGAUAGCUCCGGGAAACCGGGAUUAAUACCAGAUACGACCACUUUAGACAUCUGUCGUGGUGGAAAGGAUUCCGGCUAGGGAUGGGCUCGCGGCCUAUCAGCUUGUUGGUGGGGUAACGGCCUACCAAGGCGACG
RNAcentral lists this ribosomal RNA (247 nucleotides) under uncultured bacterium. RNAcentral describes it as "partial small subunit ribosomal RNA". It matches the Rfam family "Bacterial small subunit ribosomal RNA", at positions 26 to 278 of the family's 1533-position model. The record is from RNAcentral.